Molecule: ribosomal RNA, 464 nt
Filed under: uncultured bacterium
Lineage: Bacteria
Description: partial 16S ribosomal RNA
Rfam family: Bacterial small subunit ribosomal RNA
Source: RNAcentral
UAGGGAAUCUUCCACAAUGGACGCAAGUCUGAUGGAGCAACGCCGCGUGAGUGAAGAAGGUUUUCGGAUCGUAAAGCUCUGUUGUUGGUGAAGAAGGAUAGAGGCAGUAACUGGUCUUUAUUUGACGGUAAUCAACCAGAAAGUCACGGCUAACUACGUGCCAGCAGCCGCGGUAAUACGUAGGUGGCAAGCGUUGUCCGGAUUUAUUGGGCGUAAAGCGAGCGCAGGCGGAAUGAUAAGUCUGAUGUGAAAGCCCACGGCUCAACCGUGGAACUGCAUCGGAAACUGUCAUUCUUGAGUGCAGAAGAGGAGAGUGGAACUCCAUGUGUAGCGGUGGAAUGCGUAGAUAUAUGGAAGAACACCAGUGGCGAAGGCGGCUCUCUGGUCUGCAACUGACGCUGAGGCUCGAAAGCAUGGGUAGCGAACAGGAUUAGAUACCCUGGUAGUCCAUGCCGUAAACGAUG